Molecule: long non-coding RNA, 1400 nt
Filed under: Numida meleagris (helmeted guineafowl)
Lineage: Eukaryota; Metazoa; Chordata; Aves; Galliformes; Numididae
Description: lncRNA (ENSNMEG00000011104.1)
Source: RNAcentral
AAGGGAGGAGGUUCAGGAACUUUCUGAAGAUUUGAGGAGCUCAGCUGUGAGAGGACUUCAGUUUUCUAAUUGUGAAAGAAACCUUCUGUGACAAAGUUGCAGCAUUUCUGUCUACUGGCUAAAUCUAGCUUCGUUAGAGUUGUGCAUAGGCACUACAUAAUUAAUCUGACUUGCAGAGUGGUUUAUUAAAGCUUUUCUUUGACAAUUUUCUUUUAGCCUAAUGAAAAAAAAUAUACCUUUUUGAGCCCUCACCCAAAUACAAAUGACAUCUUUUGGACCUUCAGAGACUUUUCUGUAGCGUGCUUAAAAAAGUGACUGCCUAUUUUCAUUUAGCUAUGGAGGUGACAAAAUAUUGAAAGAGUGGCUGACAUGGCAACAUGGGGAUUCCUGCCCAGGACAAGGAGCACACAUGAGUAAGCAGCCACUGCUCAGUGUACUCAGGGCAGUUUUCACCUCCGUGCCAAAGAGGGGACGCUGGGAACUGAGGAGGCCAGUGCUGUGUGCUUAUACACUCAUGCUGUGUAUAUAUACUUAAUACAUUUCCUUUGCUGCUGAGUAUACACUUCACCUUUGAGGAACUCCAAGGGUAAGUAUUUUCACUAGUUUGAAGAUGGGGAAAUUGAGAUGGGAGAAAGCCAGGGCCUUGUCUGAAGAGGGAAGUCCUGGUUUGACCAGGAGCUCAAGGCUUACAGGCCUAUGUUCACACUGUGCCACCACAGCACUGUGCAACACAAACAUGUUUCACCUUGUUCCCCUUUGUGGAGGGAAACAAGAUCAUCCAAACAAGUAAAUAAAUUGUUCCAUUUCCUGGAAUGGGAAUGCAUACCAUUAAAAGAUCUGUCAUAAAACUGAAAGGCAUAAGAACCUCGGUAGUGAACUGGCUUGCCUCCAGAAAUCAAACCAACCCAAACAGCGAUAAUACCCACAGAGCCCCGCUUUUCAUAGGACCGUAUCCAGGGAUGUUGAAGUCGGAGGAGCUGACAAGCCUCUCUUCAGGUCACAAAGGAAUCAGUGAUAGAGAUGCAUCUGGAAGUGGGCACGAAUCCUGAACUGGUUACUUUCAUAUGCUGGGUUUUACUCUGUGCUUAACUUAAGCACUUUCUCUCCUCCCAUUUCUGUCUGACAUCUUUUACCAGAUAUUUGCUAAUCUCAGGAUUAUGCAGGGAGCAUAUUUUCAGUCAUAGGAUGCUCACAUGCUUCCCAGAACAGGGGGAAUGCAAGCACUCUCUUGCACGGGUGUUGCUGAUACACUCACGCACGCACACACGAGCACUGGUUGGGAACCGAUCAUCAGGGAAUUGAUUAAAGCCAAGAGGGCGAAGAUAUGAGCUGGUGAAUUACGGUAACAAGCAGGAUUGCGCUUACCAUCUCUGUUGAAUAAAUCUGUCCAAAAGCCAUCA